Cyprinus carpio (common carp) is the source of this 510-nucleotide non-coding RNA. NCBI's taxonomy places the organism in Eukaryota, Metazoa, Chordata, Actinopteri, Cypriniformes, Cyprinidae. The record is from the annotation of a RefSeq genome assembly.
CCUGAUUGAUUGUAUGAUUCAGUUCCUGCAAAACUCAUCACAAUCAUCACAACCCAGAGAACAGAAGAGCAUCAACAGAACUGAUCUGACUUAGAAAACAUGGACAGACACUUGGUACUGAUAUUAAUCAUGAUUUCAGGUGUGAUGGCUGCAGACCAGAUUGGGCCAAACAAGGGUACAAAUGUCAUCAGUACAGAAGGAGAGUCUGUGACAAUGAGCUGCACAUAUGAUACAAGCAGCAGAACUGUUAGACUUUACUGGUUCAGACAGUAUCGUGAUGGAGAACCUCAGUAUUUAAUGUGGAAAGAGGCUCGAGCAUGGAGUGAUACUGGGACCCCAGCUGAACCUCGCUUUCAGUCGACUACAUCAGAAACAUCCACUGAACUCAUUAUUACUGGUGUAACUCUGUCAGAUUCAGCUCUCUAUUAUUGUGCUCUAAGAGUUGGAGCACAGUGAUACAAAGUCUUUGUGAACCCGUACAAAAACUCAAAUUAAUUUUUCACUUUAAUC